GUUUCCGUAGUGUAGUGGUUAUCACAUUUGCCUUACACGCAGUAGGUCCCGGGUUCGAAAUCCAGCUGAAGCA
This 73-nucleotide transfer RNA is filed under the name Biomphalaria glabrata. It matches the Rfam family "tRNA". From Rfam's summary of the family: Transfer RNA (tRNA) molecules are approximately 80 nucleotides in length. Their secondary structure includes four short double-helical elements and three loops (D, anti-codon, and T loops). Lineage: Eukaryota; Metazoa; Mollusca; Gastropoda; Planorbidae. The record is from Rfam by way of RNAcentral.